AACGCUAGCUACAGGCUUAACACAUGCAAGUCGAGGGGCAGCAUGGUCUUAGCUUGCUAAGGCCGAUGGCGACCGGCGCACGGGUGAGUAACACGUAUCCAACCUGCCGUCUACUCUUGGACAGCCUUCUGAAAGGAAGAUUAAUACAAGAUGGCAUCAUGAGUCCGCAUGUUCACAUGAUUAAAGGUAUUCCGGUAGACGAUGGGGAUGCGUUCCAUUAGAUAGUAGGCGGGGUAACGGCCCACCUAGUCUUCGAUGGAUAGGGGUUCUGAGAGGAAGGUCCCCCACAUUGGAACUGAGACACGGUCCAAACUCCUACGGGAGGCAGCAGUGAGGAAUAUUGGUCAAUGGGCGAGAGCCUGAACCAGCCAAGUAGCGUGAAGGAUGACUGCCCUAUGGGUUGUAAACUUCUUUUAUAAAGGAAUAAAGUCGGGUAUGGAUACCCGUUUGCAUGUACUUUAUGAAUAAGGAUCGGCUAACUCCGUGCCAGCAGCCGCGGUAAUACGGAGGAUCUGAGCGUUAUCCGGAUUUAUUGGGUUUAAAGGGAGCGUAGAUGGAUAUUUAAGUCAGUUGUGAAAGUUUGCGGCUCAACCGUAAAAUUGCAGUUGAUACUGGAUAUCUUGAGUGCAGUUGAGGCAGGCGGAAUUCGUGGUGUAGCGGUGAAAUGCUUAGAUAUCACGAAGAACUCCGAUUG
This 694-nucleotide ribosomal RNA is filed under the name uncultured bacterium. Its description in RNAcentral is "bacterial SSU rRNA". It matches the Rfam family "Bacterial small subunit ribosomal RNA", at positions 32 to 715 of the family's 1533-position model. The record is from RNAcentral.